Molecule: long non-coding RNA, 515 nt
Filed under: Mytilus galloprovincialis (Mediterranean mussel)
Lineage: Eukaryota; Metazoa; Mollusca; Bivalvia; Mytilida; Mytilidae
Source: RNAcentral
GGUUAUAUUGCAUCUCUGAUUUUGUUAUGAUUAAUAAAUAAAUUAAUGCCAAUCUUUGGCCAAAAAACAUGAUAUUAAUUAAGGAAUUUGAAAUUUGAAGUUAUACAAAGAUGUUAAAUUUGGUCAAUGAAAAUCAUACAUUGACCUAUGGAUAUUUGUUUUUUGUGUUAUAUGUACAUAUGUAUAGGAAGAUGUGGUAUGAGUGCCAAUGAGACAACUCUCCAUCCAAGUAACAAUUUAUAAAAGUAAACCAUUAUAGGUCAAGGUGCGGCCUUCAACAUAGAGCCUUGGCUCACACCAGACAGCAAGUAUAUUUGUAUGUAUCACGAUUUUGUGCUGAUUCUGUCAGUUCUGACUUUAUUACACCUAUAGAUAAUAAAAUUGAGAAUGGAAUUGGGAAUAUCUAUACAUUAAAUGAUUUCAUGUCUAUCAAACAAUCUAAUGCCCAAUUUUUUUAGAAUUACAGCCACACGAUUAAUGAUCUGCCUUUCCAAAAUGAAAAUGACAUGAAAAAA